This 266-nucleotide long non-coding RNA is filed under the name Elaeis guineensis (African oil palm). RNAcentral's name for it is "long non-coding RNA (EGUI_LNC011984)". Lineage: Eukaryota; Viridiplantae; Streptophyta; Magnoliopsida; Arecales; Arecaceae. The record is from RNAcentral.
GAGGCCGAUCUUCAGGCUGUUCUUCCUUCCUUGACGGCUCUGGUUGUGGUAGGACCCUCGACCGAUCUUCCCUACCUUCAGGCUGGCGUCGGAUGAAUCUGUUGAGCCGACCUCAUCUGAUGAGCUCCUCGAUCUCAUCUCGGAGUUGAAUACACUCCUCUAUGUCAUGACCAUGGUCACGAUGAUAGAGGCAAAACUUGUUAGGGUUGUGCUUUUCGGGGUGUGUGCGCAUCCUUUCCGAUCUUGGCAGCUGCUCCCUGAUCUCA